GUUCUUAGUAAUGGAAUUUAGACAAAAAAAAAAAAGGUUCUCACAGGGCAAGGCUCAUCCAUUGCACUCCGGGUGUGCUGACCCCUGCGAUUUCCACAAAUGCGGGAAACUUGACUGCAUAAUUUGUGGUAGUGGGGAAUUGUGUUCGCGCUCUCCCCU
Small nuclear RNA from Polypterus senegalus (gray bichir), 159 nucleotides. RefSeq annotates it as U1 spliceosomal RNA. The record is from RefSeq and is a predicted model, not a curated record. Lineage: Eukaryota; Metazoa; Chordata; Cladistia; Polypteriformes; Polypteridae. The transcript has a single exon.